Molecule: microRNA precursor, 56 nt
Filed under: Anopheles gambiae (African malaria mosquito)
Lineage: Eukaryota; Metazoa; Arthropoda; Insecta; Diptera; Culicidae
Description: microRNA aga-mir-10369 precursor
Source: miRBase by way of RNAcentral
UUCAUUAAAAGGGGCUACAAUAUAAUAUUUGUAAUAGUGACACUUUUUAAUGAAAU